This 85-nucleotide non-coding RNA is filed under the name unclassified sequences. Its description in RNAcentral is "c-di-GMP sequence". It matches the Rfam family "c-di-GMP-II-GAG riboswitch aptamer". The record is from Rfam by way of RNAcentral.
UUGGCCGCGGGAGGUUCUGACGCGCGGUCCACACCCCGGCCGCCGGGACCGCGCCGAGCCACUGGCGAGACCGACCCGUGCUUGC